CCGGCGCGCCAAGGGGGUGGGCCCCGCCCCGGCCCCGCCUCGCCCCCGCCCUCCCCCCCCCGCCCCCCCAAGAGCGGACCCUGGUGCACCCGCCGGGGAGCGGCGGCCGCGGCGGCGACCGCGCAAGCAACAGCUUGCAGAGCCCAGCGCCGUGUGACACGGCUCCCUGACAUUAGUGGUGUGAGUCAGCUUGGAAACAAUCCUCACGGUUUCAGACAGGACCACGGAGGAGGCACGGACACAGGCUCUCCAAGGAGGGCCUGGUAGCGUUUGAAAGAUGUGGGGAUGGGACAGGGGGGUGGGGGGCUGAGGGGGUGCCAAAGGGUGCGGGGAAGAGACUUUCUACAAACACAAAUGCAGAACGCUGCCCCCUUCCCCCACCAGCAGAUGUCCACCUCCUUUUUGCCUGCGACAGUCGUGACCUCAUUAGAGUGUUCCCUGAAUCCUGGCUUCCCAGAACACUCACUCGGCACCCCUUUUCACCAUCCCCUACGCCGCCUGACCUCCAAGGGAAUUAACUUCUUUACUGUGCACCCUCACAAGGAAUACACAGCCCCCACCCUUUCCAAGCCCCCUGCUUCGUGUGUCUGAGAAGCUGGAGGGGAGAUAGUUUCUCCAGGAGGCGAAAGGUGAAUCACAGCUAGAGCCAAGUGAUGAGCCUGAUUUAGACUCAACGUCAGAGCCGGAAGGGCCCUUGGCGAACACUUCCAGAGCCUCCUCUGUAACUCGCCCAAGCUCACAGGCUGGCAAGUGGCAGAGCCGGAGCCAGAAUGCAGGAUCCGGGCGUCUGAUCUGCAGUAUCUUCCUGACAGCUCCGUUGAGGGAGGGAGCCUGACGUUUUCAGCAGUGGACAGUCACCAUCCCCAUCUCCAGCUUAAUUUCCAUUCGGAUUUCUCCUUGUGACCAGGACUCAAAGGAUCCCUCAGAGCCAAAGUCCCAUGGAAACUGAAGUUCCCAGAAGCAGCCAUGAAGAGCAUCUCUAGGGGGGAGAAAAGACCAUGGCAUCCGAAGAACAAAGGAAUAAGAAAACCUGUCUUACUCAGGUUACAUCGAUGGGCUGGCCAACCAAUCACACACACUGCAAAUGACACUGAAGAUGGGGUAGCCCUCACUUCCUUUUCCUUUCAGUCUUUCCUUACUCGUGAGUAAACAGAAGGCAGAGUUCUGGCAGAAUGUGUGCACAUCUAGAACUGAAAUAAAGACAGAUUAAGUGAAAGAGAUUGACACCUGCUCUGAAUAAUGACCCGGAAUAACAGUGCUGUGUCAGCACACUCCAAAAUUUUAGUCAUUUCCUCAAGAUCAAUGGGAAGAGAAAUAAGCCGUAUUCUUUCUAAGUAGGGUGGAAGAUAAUUUUGAUGAAGACUUCCA
Acinonyx jubatus (cheetah) is the source of this 1368-nucleotide long non-coding RNA. RefSeq lists it as uncharacterized. Lineage: Eukaryota; Metazoa; Chordata; Mammalia; Carnivora; Felidae. The transcript has 5 exons. The record is from RefSeq and is a predicted model, not a curated record.